Molecule: ribosomal RNA, 680 nt
Filed under: Arthrobacter sp.
Lineage: Bacteria; Bacillati; Actinomycetota; Actinomycetes; Micrococcales; Micrococcaceae
Description: bacterial SSU rRNA
Rfam family: Bacterial small subunit ribosomal RNA
Source: RNAcentral
UUUACUCCUAACGGAGGCAGCAGUGGGGAAUAUUGCACAAUGGGCGAAAGCCUGAUGCAGCGACGCCGCGUGAGGGAUGACGGCCUUCGGGUUGUAAACCUCUUUCAGUAGGGAAGAAGCCCUCUUUGGGGGUGACGGUACUUGCAGAAGAAGCGCCGGCUAACUACGUGCCAGCAGCCGCGGUAAUACGUAGGGCGCAAGCGUUAUCCGGAAUUAUUGGGCGUAAAGAGCUCGUAGGCGGUUUGUCGCGUCUGCUGUGAAAGACCGGGGCUCAACUCCGGUUCUGCAGUGGGUACGGGCAGACUAGAGUGCAGUAGGGGAGACUGGAAUUCCUGGUGUAGCGGUGAAAUGCGCAGAUAUCAGGAGGAACACCGAUGGCGAAGGCAGGUCUCUGGGCUGUAACUGACGCUGAGGAGCGAAAGCAUGGGGAGCGAACAGGAUUAGAUACCCUGGUAGUCCAUGCCGUAAACGUUGGGCACUAGGUGUGGGGGACAUUCCACGUUUUCCGCGCCGUAGCUAACGCAUUAAGUGCCCCGCCUGGGGAGUACGGCCGCAAGGCUAAAACUCAAAGGAAUUGACGGGGGCCCGCACAAGCGGCGGAGCAUGCGGAUUAAUUCGAUGCAACGCGAAGAACCUUACCAAGGCUUGACAUGGACCGGAAAGACCUGAAACAGUGACCC